Molecule: ribosomal RNA, 496 nt
Filed under: uncultured bacterium
Lineage: Bacteria
Description: partial 16S ribosomal RNA
Rfam family: Bacterial small subunit ribosomal RNA
Source: RNAcentral
GAUGAACGCUGGCGGCGUGCCUAAUACAUGCAAGUCGAGCGAACGGACGAGAAGCUUGCUUCUCUGAUGUUAGCGGCGGACGGGUGAGUAACACGUGGAUAACCUACCUAUAAGACUGGGAUGACUUCGGGAAACCGUAGCUAAUACCGGAUAAUAUUUUGAACCGCAUGGUUCAAAAGUGAAAGACGGUCUUGCUGUCACUUAUAGAUGGAUCCGCGCUGCAUUAGCUAGUUGGUAAGGUAACGGCUUACCAAGGCAACGAUGCAUAGCCGACCUGAGAGGGUGAUCGGCCACACUGGAACUGAGACACGGUCCAGACUCCUACGGGAGGCAGCAGUAGGGAAUCUUCCGCAAUGGGCGAAAGCCUGACGGAGCAACGCCGCGUGAGUGAUGAAGGUCUUCGGAUCGUAAAACUCUGUUAUUAGGGAAGAACAUAUGUGUAAGUAACUGUGCACAUCUUGACGGUACCUAAUCAGAAAGCCACGGCUAACUACGU